UACGUAGGGUGCGAGCGUUGUCCGGAAUUAUUGGGCGUAAAGGGCUCGUAGGCGGUUUGUCGCGUCGGGAGUGAAAACGCCGUGCUUAACACGGUGCUUGCUUUUGAUACGGGCAGACUGGAGGUAUGCAGGGGAGAACGGAAUUCCUGGUGUAGCGGUGAAAUGCGCAGAUAUCAGGAGGAACACCGGUGGCGAAGGCGGUUCUCUGGGCAUGUCCUGACGCUGAGGAGCGAAAGUGUGGGGAGCGAAC
Molecule: ribosomal RNA, 250 nt
Filed under: uncultured bacterium
Lineage: Bacteria
Description: partial 16S ribosomal RNA
Rfam family: Bacterial small subunit ribosomal RNA
Source: RNAcentral